UACGUAGGGGGCAAGCGUUGUUCGGAAUUACUGGGCGUAAAGGGCGCGUCGGCGGCCCAGCAAGUCGGGAGUGAAAGCCCGGGGCUCAACCCCGGAACUGCUUUCGAAACUGCUGAGCUAGAGUGCGGAAGGGGCAACCGGAAUUCCCAGUGUAGCGGUGAAAUGCGUAGAUAUUGGGAAGAACACCUGAGGCGAAGGCGGGUUGCUGGGCCGACACUGACGCUGAGGCGCGAAAGCCAGGGGAGCAAACGGG
RNAcentral lists this ribosomal RNA (253 nucleotides) under uncultured bacterium. Its description in RNAcentral is "partial 16S ribosomal RNA". It matches the Rfam family "Bacterial small subunit ribosomal RNA", at positions 524 to 776 of the family's 1533-position model. The record is from RNAcentral.